Molecule: ribosomal RNA, 536 nt
Filed under: uncultured bacterium
Lineage: Bacteria
Description: partial 16S ribosomal RNA
Rfam family: Bacterial small subunit ribosomal RNA
Source: RNAcentral
UGGGGAAUUUUGGACAAUGGGGGAAACCCUGAUCCAGCCAUCCCGCGUGUGCGAUGAAGGCCUUCGGGUUGUAAAGCACUUUUGGCAGGAAAGAAACGUCGCGGGUUAAUACCCCGCGAAACUGACGGUACCUGCAGAAUAAGCACCGGCUAACUACGUGCCAGCAGCCGCGGUAAUACGUAGGGUGCAAGCGUUAAUCGGAAUUACUGGGCGUAAAGCGUGCGCAGGCGGUUCGGAAAGAAAGAUGUGAAAUCCCCAGAGCUUAACUUUGGAACUGCAUUUUUAACUACCGGGCUAGAGUGUGUCAGAGGGAGGUGGAAUUCCGCGUGUAGCAGUGAAAUGCGUAGAUAUGCGGAGGAACACCGAUGGCGAAGGCAGCCUCCUGGGAUAACACUGACGCUCAUGCACGAAAGCGUGGGGAGCAAACAGGAUUAGAUACCCUGGUAGUCCACGCCCCUAAACGAUGUCAACUAGCUGUUGGGGGCCUUCGGGCCUUGGUAGCGCAGCUAACGCGUGAAGUUGACCGCCUGGGGAGU